UCGAGAAUCUUUCGCAAUGGGCGAAAGCCUGACGAAGCGACGCUGUGUGGGCGAUGAAGGCCUUCGGGUUGUAAAGUCCUUUCGCGCACGAACAAGAGAGGAGAUUAAAUAGAUCUCUGAUUUGAGGGUACUGCGUAAAGAAGCACCGGCUAACUCCGUGCCAGCAGCUGCGGUAAUACGGAGGGUGCAAGCAUUAAUCGGAUUUACUGGGCGUAAAGGGCGCGUAGGCGGGUGAGUAAGUCAAAUGUGAAAUUCCGGAGCUCAACUCCGGAGCGGCAUUUGAAACUGCUCAUCUAUAGAGGGAUGGCGGAGAAAAUGGAAUUCCACGUGUAGCGGUGAAAUGCGUAGAUAUGUGGAAGAACACCAGUGGCGAAAGCGGUUUUCUAGCUAUUUCCUGACGCUGAGGCGCGAGAGCAUGGGGAGCAAACAGG
RNAcentral lists this ribosomal RNA (431 nucleotides) under uncultured bacterium. RNAcentral describes it as "bacterial SSU rRNA". It matches the Rfam family "Bacterial small subunit ribosomal RNA", at positions 355 to 776 of the family's 1533-position model. The record is from RNAcentral.